Non-coding RNA from Pseudohyphozyma bogoriensis, 88 nucleotides. The record is from the annotation of a GenBank genome assembly. Lineage: Eukaryota; Fungi; Basidiomycota; Microbotryomycetes; Chrysozymaceae.
GGGGAUGUAGCUCAGGGGUAGAGCGCUUGCUUAGCAUGAUUCGAUUCAAGCUUGCAUGAGGUCCCGGGUUCGAUUCCCUGCCUCUCCA